RNAcentral lists this long non-coding RNA (1012 nucleotides) under Struthio camelus australis. Its description in RNAcentral is "lncRNA (ENSSCUG00000009701.1)". The record is from RNAcentral. Lineage: Eukaryota; Metazoa; Chordata; Aves; Struthioniformes; Struthionidae.
GAAAAGAUAAGUGUACUGUGGAAACAGUUAUGAGGCAAACAGGUCUUUCAAAUAAAGGUGUUCUCCAUGAGGCAACAACAAAAGCAUUCUAUCCAUGGCAAAGUUUAGCUCAAGAAUAUUAAAACAAGAAAAAUUUUGAGAUUAAUACUAAAAAUUUAACUUUUCCGCUUUUGACCUUUGAGAUAGGAAUUAUUCACAGAGGACCUGCUCCUUUGUUGGCUCAUAGCUGUUUUUUCUUGCAUUUUGACCUAGCUGCUGGUAUCUCUGCCUCUCAUCUUCUCCAGAGCAAACAGCUGCACAGUGCUUUCAAAUGCAGGAGGCUGCCUCAUGAGUCUGUUCCCAGCCCAGAUAUGUGUCUUGUUCCAAGCUGGCCACUGACUUCUUAAAUAGUUCCUGCAGCAGUGCUCUGGCAUGUGCCUUGGCUAUUGAUUUCAAGGAGCAGAAGUUCAUGGCUUUCAGCAUUAACCUUCUAAAUUUUCUGCUUGUGGAAGACCGCCUCAAGGCAAUAAGGAAAGCUGGAAGAGCUAGUCCCCUUCUGGCAAGGUACUGAAGAGGACCCAAGCAUUGGAGUGAGAAAGCUCCUGCUUGGGAUUCUCUGACCAAAUCUGAGAAGAUUUGAGAUGUGAAUGAAAGUGACAGAGCAAAAGGAAAUGAAGUAUUAACAUGAAGGCUAAUCAAGCAAGUUUGCUUUCCAAAGUCUAUUGAAGUAUGGAACAUAUACUUUGAAGAUCCGAGAACAGUAAAGGCUUAGGACAGCAGUGGCAGAAAGAAAGCUUUCUGACUAGUAAACUGAGUGACUACACAUGAAGUCAUGGAAAUAAAAACAAGAAACAUAUGUAUGUAUGCACGAAAAGAUAUAAAGAAAAAAGAAGACUUCAGCAGGCGCAGAGGCAAAAUUGAAAUUACUCCUUUUGUUUUAAUGCUAAAACAUCUGAGUGAGUUGCAGUCAUCCUUUGGUAGUCUUCAGAGACUCCAGCACAUGUGUGGCCUGUUAGCAACAUGCAUUGAGUAG